AUUCUCCCCAUUAGUUUUAAGUUCCUAGAGAAUAUGGACCAGAAGUCAAUUAAUCCAACCCCCUUUUUAUUUAUACAUGAGGAAACUGAGUGUGUAAGGCUACCCACUAGGUAGAUGUACUGAGAUUUGAACCAGAUUCUCCCAUUCCAAAUUCUCCUUGUCAUAGCUUUGUGUCUUCAGAGUUUAGCAUGAUAAAUGUAAAGUGUCUUAUAGAAUGCAUAUGAGGUACCUUCUAAUUCUGACGAUUUUUAUUCUACCUGGCAUUCAGUAGGUGCUUAUCAAAUGUUUUUUCACUUAUAUUGGAUUGGAUUCGAGUUACUAUUGCUACGUUUUUCUGUCCCUAGAUUUUUCUCCUAGAAUGUCAGACCUGGACCAAAAUUGGAAUCAGAGAUUCAUAGACUAUUUGAACUAGAAUCUUCAUGUUCUGAUGAUCAAUAAUCAUAUUGCAUUUGUUCUUCUAACCAAGCAUGCCAGAAACACUCCCCUACAGUCCUCCUUAGAAGCAUCAACAUAGGUGAGAGGUGACCCUGGAAUCUUGAAGGCUAUUCCAUCACCAAUGGAACACAUGCUCAGGAACUUCCCAAACAAUGAGCUAGAUCUGGCAAUGCAUGUACCAACCUCUUCAUCUAUGUGGACAUCCCUAGAAAGUAGACUGCCAAAGUCCAUGAAUCAGUUUUCCACUGGUGCCCCAAGAAAUAAGAGGAAAAAGGAAGGAAGGCCUCUGGAAGAAUCAUAGAUCAGGCAGACAUGAAUGUGUAUAAUAAAUAUUGUUGCAGAAAAUUUCCA
RNAcentral lists this long non-coding RNA (786 nucleotides) under Monodelphis domestica (gray short-tailed opossum). Its description in RNAcentral is "lncRNA (ENSMODG00000031554.2)". The record is from RNAcentral. Lineage: Eukaryota; Metazoa; Chordata; Mammalia; Didelphimorphia; Didelphidae.